GGGGGGGGGGGGAAAAAUUUUUUUUUUAUGCAAUAAAAAAAAGUNNGGCCUAGCGGACAAAAUAGUUUUUGUAUCGACGUACAAAUAAAAUAUACCUCACUUAAGACGGGCCACUAAAUUGCAAAUUGCCGGCGCUCUUUAGCACGUUUCCAUCGUAUUAUCAAACGGAGAAUUAACUUCCGACCUUACUUACCUAUAUGCAUUAAUAAAGACAGAGUAAACAUAUAUAUAUUCAACCGAAAAUCCACGUUUCUGGAUUUAUCAUUAUUUUCUGUUUUUCUGGGAUAACUCGAAAUAAAAAUACCCCCCAAAUAAUUAAAUAAAUAAUAACUGAAAUUUCUUAAGCCAACCCCGCGGGAUCCUUAUAUAAAUAGAAGGAAUAAAAUAUAUCUUUAAAUAAGAAAAUUUACUAGUUAAAUCUACUAUGCUUCUUUGUCAAUGGUAUCCCUAUUGUCCGAUUAAAAAAGUCUCUCAGGUUUAAUUACUCUUUCCAAUCGUGGAGCUACAACCGAAUUUUAUAGGAUUCCCACAUCACCAAGAACUCCCAACCAAACAAGUUGGUAAUUUUAAAAUGCACUAGACUCAAGUCUGUCC
This 594-nucleotide ribosomal RNA is filed under the name Galapagomystides verenae. Its description in RNAcentral is "Protomystides verenae partial large subunit ribosomal RNA". Lineage: Eukaryota; Metazoa; Annelida; Polychaeta; Phyllodocida; Phyllodocidae. The record is from RNAcentral.